This 1443-nucleotide ribosomal RNA is filed under the name uncultured Bordetella sp. RNAcentral's name for it is "partial 16S-23S ribosomal RNA intergenic spacer". It matches the Rfam family "Bacterial small subunit ribosomal RNA". Lineage: Bacteria; Pseudomonadati; Pseudomonadota; Betaproteobacteria; Burkholderiales; Alcaligenaceae. The record is from RNAcentral.
GGCUCUGAUCAUGGCUCAGACUGAACGCUGGCGGGAUGCUUUACACAUGCAAGUCGAACGGCAGCACGGACUUCGGUCUGGUGGCGAGUGGCGAACGCGACGGCUACAUCGGAACCGCUCAGUAGCGGGGAUAACUACGCGAAAGGGGGUAGCUAAUACCGCAUACGCCCUUCGGGGAAAGCGGGGGGACCUUCGGGCCUCGCACUAUUAGAGCGGCCGAUAUCGGAUUAGCUAGUUGGUGGGCAGGCUCACCAAGGCGACGAUCCGUAGCUGGUUUGAGAGACUGACCGCACACACUGGGACCGGAGACAUUUGCCCAGACUACGGGAGGCAGCAGUGGGGAAUGGAUAAUGGGGGAAACCUGAUCCAGCCAUCCCGCGUGUGCGAUGAAGGCCUUCGGGUUGUAAAGCACUUUUGCAGGAAAGAAACGCACGGCACACCCUGCGCAACUGACGGUACCUGCAGAAUAAGCACCGGCUAACUAUGCCAGCAGCCGCAGUAAUACGUAGGUGCCGUUAAUCGGAAUUACUACGAAGCGUGCCAAGGCGGUUCGAAAAAGCAGGAUGUGAAAUCCCAGAGCUUAACUUUGAACCGCAUUUUUAACUACCGAGCUAGAGGUACGAGGAGGUGGAAUUCCGCGUAGCAGAAAUGCAGAUACGCGGAGGAACACCGAUGGCGAAGGCAGCCUCCUGAUAACACUGACGCUCAUGCACGAAAGCGUGGGGAGCAAACAGGAUUAGAUACUCCUGGCAGUCCACGCCCCAAACGAUGUCAACUAGCUGCUGGGGCCUUCGGGCUCUUGGCAGCGCAGCUAACGCGUGAAGUUGACCGCCUGGGAGUACGGUCGCAAGAUUAAACCCAAAGGAAUUGACGGGACCCGCACAAGCGGUGGAUGAUGUGGAUUAAUUCGAUGCAACGCGAAAACCUUACCUACCCUUGACAUGUCUGGAAUCCCGAAGAGAUUUGGGAGUGCUCGCAAGAGAACUGGAACACAGGUGCUGUACGGCUGUCGUCAGCUCGUGUCGAGACGUCAGUUAAGUCCGCAACGAGCGCAACCCUUGUCAUUAGUUGCUACGUAGCACACCUUUAAUGAGACUGCUGCGGAUGCCAAACCGGAGGAAGGUGGGAUGACGUCAAGUCCGCGGCCCUUAGGUAGGGCCACAUCGUCAUACAAUGGUCGGGACAGAGGGUCGCCAACCCGCGAGGGGGAGCCAAUCCCAGAAACCCGAUCGUAGUCCGGAUCGCAGUCUGUGCGUUCCGACCGCGUGGAAGUCAAUCGCUAGUAAUCGUGGAUCAUAAUGCAUGUAACAUGUUCCGGUCUUGUACACACUGCCCGUCACACCAUGGGAGUGGGUUUUACCAGAAGUAGUUAGCCUGGGUUCAGUAAGGAGGGCGAUUACCACAGUAGGGAUUCAUGACUUGGGUGAAGUCGUAACAAGGUAG